AAAUAAGUGUAUAAGCUGACAGAGCACCAUGGAGUUAUGUGAACAGUGAGGACUAUCACUGCAGGACGUUACUAUGCACAGAGCUCUGGUUUGGUUUGACUAUGGCAAAUCUGCCUGUUCAACAGCCCCUCUAAAUAGGGAGUUUCUCAUUUUACAUUUUCCUCUUACCAAAUAACAGUGUCUUCUCUCGUAUCCAUUGUCUAUGAGGCUGUAAAUGGUAUAGUUAUACCUUUGGUGUUCUUAAUUGCCCAUCAAACUGUUCUGCCUUUAACACUUUUUGUUGUAAAUGUCAGAACAUGCAUAGUGACCUUUUUUCUAGCUGCAAGCCUCCAGAGAAGCAGGAGCAGCAGCUCUGAGAAACGUGGCCCAGAGAUUAUUUGAAAACUACCAAACGCAAUCUGAAGAAGUGAGAAAGAAGCAGGAGGACAGUAAACAAUUACUCCAGGUUAACAAGCUUGAAAAAGAACAGAAAUUGAAACAACAUGUUGAAAAUCUGAAUCAAGUUGCUGAAAAACUUGAAGAAAAACACAGUCAAAUUACAGAAUUGGAGAACCUUGUACAGAGAAUGGAAAAGGAAAAGAGAACACUACUAGAAAGAAAACUGUCUUUGGAAAACAAGCUACUGCAACUCAAAUCCAGUGCUACAUAUGGAAAAAGAAACCUCUGAAGAUCUCUUAAACUGGGUUCUUCAUUCCUCUGAGUGACGACUAGCAAAAAGCCAUUUUCCAACUUUUCCAUCUGCCCUGCCACAUCACGAACAAAUAUGCAGGCCUUUUUAAGAGUUAUCUUUUGGGGAAACAUAUUUGGGAUUGAUAUGGUUUGGCUGUGUCCCCACCCGAAAAGAUGAGAAUCUUGAAUUGUAGUUCCCAUAAUCCCUACAUGUCAUGGGAGAAACCUGGUGGGAGGUAAUUGAACCAUGGGGGCGGUUAGCCCAAUGCUGCUGUUCUCAUGAGUUCUCACAAGUUCUGAUGGUUUUAUAAGGGGCUUUUCCUCCUUUUGCUUUGCACUUCUCCUUGCUGCAUGGUUUUGGCCCGCCAUGUGAAGAAGGACAUGUUUACUUGCCCUUCCAACAUGACUGUAAGUUUCCUGAGGCCUCCCCAGCCCUGCAGAACUGUGAAUCAACUAAACCUCUUUCCUUUAUAAAUUACCCAGUCUCGGGUAUGUUUUCAUAGCAGCAUGAGAACAGACUAAUACAGGGAGCUGUAAAAAUAAACAGUGUUGGCC
Molecule: long non-coding RNA, 1224 nt
Filed under: Homo sapiens (human)
Lineage: Eukaryota; Metazoa; Chordata; Mammalia; Primates; Hominidae
Description: HSALNT0251472
Source: RNAcentral